Dermacentor albipictus is the source of this 2159-nucleotide long non-coding RNA. RefSeq lists it as uncharacterized. The record is from RefSeq and is a predicted model, not a curated record. Lineage: Eukaryota; Metazoa; Arthropoda; Arachnida; Ixodida; Ixodidae.
CAGAAGCGAAAGGUGACGCCACCAUGCAACGGUGCCACUUCGCGCUGUUUUCUGUCGAUUUUGAAACUUUCGGCAGCGGCGGCGGCGGUUCGUUCGUGCUUUCGCUUGCUUAAAUGGUUCUUUAUGCUUAAGGUGCUUCGCGUUUUUGAGUGGAGAACGUGAAAUCGUGCUUGCAAGAACGGCCGCAACAACACCGCUUUAUUUCGGCUCGAGCGCCUGUCUUCACUGGAGGUCGCAUUUGAAAUUCUGUAAUACUAGAAACCAUUGAGCCCGCCAAUCCCCGUGUAAGCAGCUGCAUCUUUACCUGAGGUGGAACGAAGGAGGAACUUCCGUAGCUGUGAUCUCAUCCACCAACUUUCUGCACAGGAGUCUCAGUUCGUAAAAGAUUGCAACAAAACAUUCCAGGGUAAAAAUCAAGCCUUUCCGGUCAGAAGAAAUGUUAAACCUCCUAAUCGAAACAUGGCUCCAGGACCCACAACUGCUUCCAAGAUGCUGCUCACGCUUGCUCACCCCUUUGGAUUAUUGAAGUGUCUCAGGGCGUACAAAUCGAACACUGAAUGUGUCACCAGUGGCAGUAACAUCAAGGGCCAAAGUCCUCACAAGGAAGAUAGACAAAAGAGAGAUUAUUCGUCUGCUAGCUGCCCACACCAAGGCCUAACAAGUUAAACUGUCACCAUAAUGACAACAGGUUCUCUUGAACUAUGUGCCUCACCAUGAAAUGUUUGCAAGUUUACCAGAUAGAGGGGUGUGAGCCCUAUUAGGAAAGCAGUAGCCUACAGUUUUGCAUUGUACCGAGCUGGCAUGCUAAAAUUUUGUGUACCAGCUGACCUGCUUUUAAGAGAGGUUCAUGACAAAUGGAGAAGUAACAUGUUGAGUCCCCAGUUGUUUCUUUUCAAGUCAUUAUAGCCAUGGCGACCAGAACAGAAACAUUAUAGCAAGCUCCUACUUGAUAAUGCACAAACUCUGUCACCUGCUCUUUGAAAAUCGGCUUCAUAGGCGUUACCACCAAGUAUCACACGCUCACUCACAACACUAAUUUGUUACAUAAAAAUGCAGAGAAUUUUAAAAUGGUCAAACAUGCUCAAUGCAAUUUUGAGGAAGUUGUACUUCAUGAUUACUGAAACUCGGGCAGUUACUGUUUAUUUUAUUAAUAUACGCUUAAGGCCAUAUAGCAUUAGAGAGGAGUUGCUACAAAGUACUAAAGCAAACAAGUUUAAUUUAAUAAUUUUGAUUGUACAAUUUUAUCUAAUGUUCUUAGAAAAAGUUUAUCGGUGAUGGCAACACUGUUUGAGGGAAGGUAGUUCCAUUCCCUAGAUGUACGUGGGAUAAUGAUUGAAAGACUUCACGUAACAUGAAUCAAUCAUACCUUACUGUGAUGAUUGACACAUAUUGAAAUGCACUGGGGCCAAAGUAUGAAGUGAAGUGUUGUGUGAUAAAAAUUUUACGAAAUAGUGAAACACUGGUGACAUUACGGCGGUUAGCUAGUUGAAUAAGUGCCAAGGGUAGUGUGAUUUUCCAAGGAUAUGUGAGCAUACUUAUAUGUUUAUUUAGUUUCCUUGUUUAUUCACACAAUAUUUGCAGAAGUCCUUGUAGAAACUGUUAUCUCCGUUACAAUCCUUGCUUUCCUACGAGUACUCCAUUUGUGUCAAACACUUUACUGCUGGAUCUGAACACUAAAUGUGUAGCAUAAGUAUCAAGCAGAAAUAUGUCCUGUAAAAUUAGCACAAUGUCACUUUCCCCCUACACUUUGUGCCUCACACCAAUGUCUUGUCGAAACAAUGGGGCAUUGCAGCUAGAGCUUAUCUUGCUGGCAGUACAUCUUUGACGAUCAUGUUUUUUUAAAAAUCUACCCGAAAUCGUUGAACGCAGACACUAUACGUAUAGUAUGAAACACAUCAAGCAGCACUUUACUCAACUACAAGUGGGUGGGUAGCACAGCAUAAAUAUCGUCUGAAGUAUCGCUCUCCCUGCCAUACCGGCAUGCCAAACGCGAGGAAGCUUUGCUCGAUUUUAGCUUUUAGUUCCAUUAAAUAGAUGGCUAUUUUUGUUUCUGUAGGUUGUAAGCUUAGUGACCGACAGCAUUCAGUCCAUCUGACCUGUACGAAAACUGUGAGCAUGUACAGCUUCAUUUACCAUUCACAAUAAACAAUGUAAGCUUA